RNAcentral lists this ribosomal RNA (213 nucleotides) under Triticum aestivum (bread wheat). Its description in RNAcentral is "partial small subunit ribosomal RNA". The record is from RNAcentral. Lineage: Eukaryota; Viridiplantae; Streptophyta; Magnoliopsida; Poales; Poaceae.
AUGAGGCUCUUGUGUUGGAACUGUCACGGUCUGGGGACGGACGCGACAGUGGGUGAGCUAAAAUGGCUCAUUAGUAAAUAUCGUCCCUCCCUCCUCUUCCUAUCUGAGACGAAGACGAGGGAUUCAAGAGCUCAGAAUUUCAUGUGGUCUCUGAGAUAUUCAAGUGCUUUUGCAGUCAGCUGUGAGGGUUUGAGUGGCGGGCUUGCUCUCUUU